This 116-nucleotide non-coding RNA is filed under the name Intrasporangium chromatireducens Q5-1. Its description in RNAcentral is "Intrasporangium sp. Q5-1 SAM riboswitch aptamer (S box leader)". It matches the Rfam family "SAM riboswitch aptamer (S box leader)". Rfam says of the family: The SAM riboswitch is found upstream of a number of genes which code for proteins involved in methionine or cysteine biosynthesis in Gram-positive bacteria. The SAM riboswitch acts at the level of transcription termination control. The record is from Rfam by way of RNAcentral. RNAcentral also lists the same sequence under 1 other name. Lineage: Bacteria; Bacillati; Actinomycetota; Actinomycetes; Micrococcales; Intrasporangiaceae.
CGCUCAUCCAGAGGGGCAGAGGGAAACGGCCCGUUGAAGCCCCGGCAACCCGGCCUUCCGAGAUCUUCGGAGCCGACAGGUGCCACGUCCGUCCCGCCUCGCGGGAAAGAUGAGAA